AUCUUUGUAUCGAGUGAGUGAUAGAGUGCACCAACAAAGACACCCAACUUUCGUGAAACCAAUGUCGUCGUCGUCACUCCUCCACAGUCGAAGACCACUCUUCUCUGCCCUCAGAACCCUCUCUCUCCGGCAUUUCUCCACUUCACUUCCUCGUAUUUUGGUGGAGGACAAAGACAAUGCUACACCUGAAAAAAGCCCUAGCUUUAUUCAUCCCGCCGCAAUCGUUCAUCCAGGUGCCGUCAUAGGUCAGGGUGUUUCAAUUGGCCCCUUUUGUACAGUUGGAUCUUCUGCAAAGUUGGGUAAUGCUUGCCAACUAUAUCCAGGGAGCCAUAUUUUUGGAAAUACAGAACUUGGGGAUCAAUGUGUCUUGAUGACUGGUGCUGUGGUUGGGGAUGAUCUUCCUGGGCGUACAGUCAUUGGAUGCAAUAAUGUUAUAGGGCAUCAUUGUGUGGUUGGUAUUAAAUGCCAAGACAUGAAGUACAAGUCAGGGGAUGGAUGUUUUCUAGAGAUUGGUGACAACAACGAGAUAAGGGAGCAUACCUCUAUCCAUCGAUCUUCAAAGCCACGUGAGAAAACUGUCAUUGGUGAUAACAAUCUGGUUAUGGGGUCUUGUCAUAUUGCCCAUGACUGCAAAGUGGGAAGCAACAACAUUUUGGCGAAUAAUACUCUUCUAGCAGGCCAUGUGGUGGUGGAGGACUAUGCUCACACUGCAGGGGCCACUGUUGUUCAUCAAUUUUGCCAUAUUGGCUCUUUUUCUUUCAUUGGUGGUGGUUCAGUGGUUUCACAAGAUGUCCCAAAAUACAUGAUGGUGUCCGGAGAAAGGGCUGAUCUCCGUGGUUUAAAUUUGGAAGGUCUUCGACGGCGUGGAUUUUCGGAUUCUGAGGAUCUAGAUCAGGAGCCUGAGAAUAGCUUACAGAAAGAUAUUCAUGCCUACCGAUGUGAAUUCUGGUGGUAUCGAGAACCGUCUCACGGAAGUGGAGCAGAAUGAAGAACUUGCAUAUGUUCCUGCUGUGUGUUCAAUGGUUCAGUCCAUUCGCGAUUCUUUUGCUGAAGAUCGUCGUGGAAUUUGCAGGUUUCGAUCUUGGAGUGGUUCGUAGAAUGCAUGCUACUGUAGCUUUACUGUAUGAAAUCACCACAAACCGAAUGUCAUGCCAGAUUGUGCCCCUCUCCAGCAAGUUGGGGUUGCAAAUUACUGCAACCAAUCAAUCUGAACUGCCGAUACAUUGAACGUUCUCCGACCUUGUACAACCUGAAAAUCAUCGAUGACGUGAAUGCUCUUCAAAAGAUUGAUAGCUAAUCAAUGCAGAGAAUUUCUUUUGUACAGUAUUAUACAUGCAUAAAGGUGAUUUUGUUUAUGUGGGGAGUAGUUUCAAACAAUUGCGGGAGGUUGAAACUUAACCUACGGAUGCGGAUCCUCUAUGAGGUUCAUGUGAGGGUUUCUUUGUGAUGCUGCCAACACAUUCAGGAGCAGAUCCAACGGUCCAGAAUAGAGCUUCUACUUUCUUUAAUCAAACGACGCUAGAUUGUGGAAUCAAUGUCCAACGGAGAGUAAACCGAGAGAAAACCAUCUGUCAUCUUCUCCUUUGCAGCCCGUUUCCACCCCCUCCAUGGCUGAAAGUGCUUCUUGGUUUUCAUUCAUCAACUGACUUAAGUAUGGGAUUUGAUGGAGAUUUUUGUGGGUUUUUGCGAGGGAGUCGUGAUAGAAAAUUGAGAAGAUAGGAUUCACGGGAAGCUGAUGAGAAGGUGGGGAAGUGGAUUACGGGGCAGAUUUUUUCCUCCCCACUUGUGACUUUUGGAAUUGGAUUACAGGGCAUAAAUUACAUGAGAUCUAGAAGUCGUGAUGGGAAAUUAUAGGUCUGAUUAUUGUUCCUCCCCAUUCUUCUUCCUCACCAUUUCCGAUUUUGAUCCAGAAGUGAACUCUCUAUUUCAAUUUGUCCCAGCAAAGUUAGGGCAUAUUUUGGCCUUUUUUCCCCCCUUGUUCUUUCUGAAGUCGAGAAUGGCAUGAUGGACGGAGAAAACGAACAAGAAAACGGUGGAGUGUUUUCUCUCCGUUGGACCAUUUUCCGUAUCCAGUGUCGUUUGGUUAAUGAAAGUAGAAGCUCUAUUCUAGACCGUUGGAUCCGCUCCUGAACGUGUUGGCAGCCUCACAUAGAAACCCUCACAUGAUCCUCACAGAGGAAUCUCACUGAGGAUCCAGAUCCUUAAACUAUGGAAAAGGUUCAAUUUGGUACCUGCACUUGUAAGUGAU
This is an RNA transcript of Rhododendron vialii, 2248 nucleotides long. It is a transcript of the gene named probable acyl-[acyl-carrier-protein]--UDP-N-acetylglucosamine O-acyltransferase, mitochondrial, with no coding region annotated. The record is from RefSeq and is a predicted model, not a curated record. Lineage: Eukaryota; Viridiplantae; Streptophyta; Magnoliopsida; Ericales; Ericaceae. The transcript has 11 exons.